This 120-nucleotide small nuclear RNA is filed under the name Rhodnius prolixus. Its description in RNAcentral is "U5 spliceosomal RNA". It matches the Rfam family "U5 spliceosomal RNA". Rfam says of the family: U5 RNA is a component of both types of known spliceosome. The precise function of this molecule is unknown, though it is known that the 5' loop is required for splice site selection and p220 binding, and that both the 3' stem-loop and the Sm site are important for Sm protein binding and cap methylation. Lineage: Eukaryota; Metazoa; Arthropoda; Insecta; Hemiptera; Reduviidae. The record is from Rfam by way of RNAcentral.
CUACUUUGGUCUCUCUUCAAAUCGUAUAAAUCUUUUGCCUUUUAAUAAAGUUUUCCUUAGAGAGGGACUACUUCAUGAGUCACGAAGCAUUUCAGUUAUUGCCAAUGUGGAGUCAUAUUG